RNA transcript from Alnus glutinosa, 740 nucleotides. RefSeq lists it as uncharacterized. The transcript is spliced from 5 exons. The record is from RefSeq and is a predicted model, not a curated record. Lineage: Eukaryota; Viridiplantae; Streptophyta; Magnoliopsida; Fagales; Betulaceae.
UUUUAAUAUCCCGCCCCCUCUUCCUUUUACUUUCUACACCAAUUAGCUCUUCCUCCCAUUAUCUCUUUCUCAAUCCAUCCUUUGCCCUAAUUCUCUCUUUCUCAACUGGUUUUCUCUCUUUCUAAGCCUAAAGAAGGCAGCUUCGCACACAUGAUUGAUCAAGCUCUGGCCAACGAGUUCCCCGAGAGCGAUCAACCCGAAGGCAGUUCUGGAAACUGUAGCCAGGGUUAAGUCAAAGAAAAAUGACACAAAAGAGAAAAAGACAAUGUCUUUAUUAUAUCUAUUUCAAAUCAAAAUAUCCAGUUCUGCAGCUAGACUUAAGACAUUUAUAUGCUGUCAAGCUGUGCGUGCUUUGGAGUACCCACUGAACAAGGAUCUAAUGAUAGCCAUUUCCUGACUUCUGCUACUUUCUUGAGCUUUAAAGGUGCUCAUGGAGAUUAAGGACAAGGAAAAAAAUAUCAAAGAUGGAUGAUUAUGAAGUGAUAGAGCAGAUAGGCAGAGGAACAUUCGGAGCUGCAUUUCUCGUUCUUCACAAAUUUGAGAGGAAGAAGUAUGUAUUAAAGAAGAUUUGAUUGUCUAAACAAACAGAGAAAUUCAAGCGUGCGGCACAUCAAGAGGUUAUCCUUCUGAAUACUCUGUAUGCCAGUUUAAAUUUUUGGCAGUGCAGAAUGAAAUUUUGGUUUUUGGCAAUAGUGUUUCUAUUCUUUUAAUAUAUUCACGUAUAAGCUGUUUCAACAUAU